RNAcentral lists this long non-coding RNA (389 nucleotides) under Gossypium raimondii (Peruvian cotton). RNAcentral describes it as "long non-coding RNA (GRAI_LNC006153)". The record is from RNAcentral. Lineage: Eukaryota; Viridiplantae; Streptophyta; Magnoliopsida; Malvales; Malvaceae.
GAAGGUCAAGAGUUCGAGGCUCUGCGCGAACAAAGGAUUUAAUUUUUAUUGCUUGGCCGUGGAGGUGUUAUAGUUUGACUGAAAUUUGAGUGUUUGAGGAGUGUGGAGAUGUGUGGUCGAUUUUUAGGAGGCUAGUGAGAGGGGAUUUCGGUUGUUAAGGGUUUGGAUAGGGGGUGGUUGGAGAAUUUGGAGGAGAGGAUUAAGGGAUGUGGUGAGAGUUUGUGCUGAAUGGGUUUUCUUUUUUCAAAAUUUUGGUACCCUCUCCCCAAAAUUUCCCAAUUUGUUGACGGUAAAUCCUUCCCCUCUUGGCCGAAAUUUCUUCUAAGUGCUCCCUUUCUCUUCUUCUCUUUUUGCAAAUUCAAUUUUUGUUUUGUUUUCUCUCAACUCCC